This is a long non-coding RNA of Onychostoma macrolepis, 706 nucleotides long. RefSeq lists it as uncharacterized. Lineage: Eukaryota; Metazoa; Chordata; Actinopteri; Cypriniformes; Cyprinidae. The record is from RefSeq and is a predicted model, not a curated record. The transcript is spliced from 5 exons.
GCAGCCCUGCAUGCAGUGUGGAUCCCGCGAGAUUUCAUUCAGCAAUUCCCAUCCCCCACGCAGCACUCGCUGCAUCGCGCCGACGCCAUUACUACUCUCUGACUGCUUUGCUGUAAUUUUCGAGAGAAGACGUUUGCCGUCAGUGUAACCAAGAAAGUAAUCGGACGGUCUUGGAUGUUGAUGCAGUGGAGCAGAAAUUGGCAGACCCCAACUUCCAGAAACAAGUGGUUGCUGUGGUGGCAGUACUGUGGAUGAAGCCAGGAGAAGAAUGAGGGCCUUCCUUUUGGACCACCCGCAUCAAGAGAGUUCAAUUUUGUUGGCCGGCAUGGAAAGUGAGAGUUUCAGGGCUCAGACUGCUUGAGGUUGUAUAAGGAAGCUUGAAAAAAAAUUCUCUUAACCAAAUUACCAGAAAAGAGGCAGAAAAGUCAGCGUCAAAGUGGCUAAUCGGUGACGGGAGGAAACCGUUCUGCGGUCACGUAGUAGAGAGUAAGAUAGGGCCGUUGGGAGAGCGAGGACAGAGGUGUGAGGGGCUGCAUGGUUGGUUUGUUUGUUUGUGAAAUAAUGUAUUUUAGAGUUUUCAGAUAUGUGUAUACAAACGAUACAAGUUAUUCCAAAUAAUGUUUGGCAGGAGCUUCACUUUAACUUUUUAAGAUGCUUAUGUUUUAUAAAGUUGUAAAUACACAAGUUAUAAUGGUCAUGUUCAAAU